GACGAACGCUGGCGGCGUGCUUAACACAUGCAAGUCGAACGGAAAGGCCCUGCUUUUGUGGGGUGCUCGAGUGGCGAACGGGUGAGUAACACGUGAGUAACCUGCCCUUGACUUUGGGAUAACUUCAGGAAACUGGGGCUAAUACCGGAUAGGAGCUCCCGCUGCAUGGUGGGGGUUGGAAAGUUUCGGCGGUUGGGGAUGGACUCGCGGCUUAUCAGCUUGUUGGUGGGGUAGUGGCUUACCAAGGCUUUGACGGGUAGCCGGCCUGAGAGGGUGACCGGCCACAUUGGGACUGAGAUACGGCCCAGACUCCUACGGGAGGCAGCAGUGGGGAAUAUUGCACAAUGGGCGGAAGCCUGAUGCAGCAACGCCGCGUGCGGGAUGACGGCCUUCGGGUUGUAAACCGCUUUCGCCUGUGACGAAGCGUGAGUGACGGUAAUGGGUAAAGAAGCACCGGCUAACUACGUG
This 468-nucleotide ribosomal RNA is filed under the name uncultured bacterium. RNAcentral describes it as "partial 16S ribosomal RNA". It matches the Rfam family "Bacterial small subunit ribosomal RNA", at positions 28 to 507 of the family's 1533-position model. The record is from RNAcentral.